GCGGCGGUCGUCUAGCCUGGACUAGGACACUGGCCUUCCGAGUCAGCAACCCGGGUUCAAAUCCCGGCCGCCGCA
Molecule: transfer RNA, 75 nt
Filed under: Candidatus Bathyarchaeota archaeon
Lineage: Archaea; Thermoproteati; Candidatus Bathyarchaeota
Also listed under: 1 other name
Description: tRNA-Gly
Rfam family: tRNA
About the family: Transfer RNA (tRNA) molecules are approximately 80 nucleotides in length. Their secondary structure includes four short double-helical elements and three loops (D, anti-codon, and T loops).
Source: RNAcentral